UACAGAGGUGGCAAGCGUUGUUCGGAAUUACUGGGCGUAAAGGGCGCGUAGGCGGCCAUCUAAGUCAGACGUGAAAUCCCCCGGCUUAACCUGGGAACUGCGUCUGAUACUGGACGGCUAGAGUAUGGGAGAGGGAUGUAGAAUUCCAGGUGUAGCGGUGAAAUGCGUAGAUAUCUGGAGGAAUACCGGUGGCGAGGGCGGCAUCCUGGACCAUUUACUGACGCUGAGGCGCGAAAGCUAGGGGAGCAAGCGGG
This 254-nucleotide ribosomal RNA is filed under the name uncultured bacterium. RNAcentral's name for it is "partial 16S ribosomal RNA". It matches the Rfam family "Bacterial small subunit ribosomal RNA", at positions 524 to 776 of the family's 1533-position model. The record is from RNAcentral.